UUCCCAGACUCCUACGGGAGGCAGCAGUGGGGGAUAUUGCACAAUGGGGGGAACCCUGAUGCAGCGACGCCGCGUGGGUGAAGGAGUGCUUCGGCAUGUAAAGCCCUAUCGGCAGGGAAGGAGCAAGACGGUACCUGACUAAGAAGCCCCGGCUAACUACGUGCCAGCAGCCGCGGUAAUACGUAGGGGGCGAGCGUUAUCCGGAUUCACUGGGUGUAAAGGGAGCGUAGACGGCCAUGCAAGCCAGGGGUGAAAGCCCGGGGCCCAACCCCGGGACUGCCCUUGGAACUGCAUGGCUGGAGUGCGGGAGGGGCAGGCGGAAUUCCUGGUGUAGCGGUGAAAUGCGUAGAUAUCAGGAGGAACACCGGCGGCGAAGGCGACUUUCUGGACUGUACCUGACGCUGAGGCGCGAAAGCGUGGGUAGCGAACGGGAUUAGAUACCCGGGUA
Molecule: ribosomal RNA, 448 nt
Filed under: uncultured bacterium
Lineage: Bacteria
Description: bacterial SSU rRNA
Rfam family: Bacterial small subunit ribosomal RNA
Source: RNAcentral